UACAGAGGUCUCAAGCGUUGUUCGGAUUCAUUGGGCGUAAAGGGUGCGUAGGUGGCGAUGUAAGUCUGGUGUGAAAUUUCGGAGCUCAACUCCGAAACUGCAUUGGAUACUGCGUUGCUCGAGGAUUGUAGAGGAGAGUGGAAUUCACGGUGUAGCAGUGAAAUGCGUAGAUAUCGUGAGGAAGACCAGUUGCGAAGGCGACUCUCUGGGCAAUUCCUGACACUGAGGCACGAAGGCCAGGGGAGCAAAC
This 250-nucleotide ribosomal RNA is filed under the name uncultured bacterium. RNAcentral describes it as "partial 16S ribosomal RNA". It matches the Rfam family "Bacterial small subunit ribosomal RNA", at positions 524 to 773 of the family's 1533-position model. The record is from RNAcentral.